CAGUAGCCGCGGGAAUACGUAGGGUGCAAGCGUUAUCCGGAAUUAUUGGGCGUAAAGAGCUCGUAGGCGGUUUGUCACGUCUGCUGUGAAAACGCGAGGCUCAACCUCGCGCCUGCAGUGGGUACGGGCAGACUAGAGUGCGGUAGGGGAGAUUGGAAUUCCUGGUGUAGCGGUGGAAUGCGCAGAUAUCAGGAGGAACACCGAUGGCGAAGGCAGAUCUCUGGGCCGUAACUGACGCUGAGGAGCGAAAGGGUGGGGAGCAAACAGGCUUAGAUACCCCCGUAGUCCCUGUCUCUUAUAC
Molecule: ribosomal RNA, 301 nt
Filed under: uncultured bacterium
Lineage: Bacteria
Description: partial 16S ribosomal RNA
Rfam family: Bacterial small subunit ribosomal RNA
Source: RNAcentral